CACAAAACCUUCAGCUACCCA
This 21-nucleotide microRNA is filed under the name Brachypodium distachyon (stiff brome). RNAcentral's name for it is "bdi-miR7757-5p.1". Lineage: Eukaryota; Viridiplantae; Streptophyta; Magnoliopsida; Poales; Poaceae. The record is from miRBase by way of RNAcentral.